UGACGUCUGUGGACCAAAAGGGGGCUUUCGGGCUCCCGCUCAAAGAGGAACNUAAGCGAGAUUAGCUAGUUGGUGGGGUAAAGGUCUACCAAGGCGACGAUCUCUAGCUGUUCUGAGAGGAAGAUCAGCCACACUGGGACUGAGACACGGCCCAGACUCCUACGGGAGGCAGCAGUGGGGAAUAUUGCACAAUGGGGGGAACCCUGAUGCAGCCAUGCCGCGUGUGUGAAGAAGGCCUUCGGGUUGUAAAGCACUUUCAGACGUGAGGAAGGGUUGAUGGUUAAUACCCNGUCAACAUUGACGUUAGCGUCAGAAGAAGCACCGGCUAACUCCGUGCCAGCAGCCGCGGUAAUACGGAGGGUGCGAGCGUUAAUCGGAAUUACUGGGCGUAAAGCGCACGCAGGCGGUUUGUUAAGCUAGAAGUGAAAGCCCCGGGCUCAACCUGGGAAGGCCUUUUAGAACUGGCAAGCUAGAGUCUUGGAGAGGGGAGUGGAAUUCCAGGUGUAGCGGUGAAAUGCGUAGAUAUCUGGAGGAACAUCAGUGGCGAAGGCGGCUCCCUGGCCAAAGACUGACGCUCAUGUGCGAAAGUGUGGGUAGCGAACAGGAUUAGAUACCCUGGUAGUCCACACCGUAAACGCUGUCUACUAGCUGUGUGUGAAUUUAAUUUGUGCGUAGCGAAGCAAACGCGCUAAGUAGACCGCCUGGGGAGUACGGCCGCA
Molecule: ribosomal RNA, 719 nt
Filed under: uncultured Aestuariibacter sp.
Lineage: Bacteria; Pseudomonadati; Pseudomonadota; Gammaproteobacteria; Alteromonadales; Alteromonadaceae
Description: bacterial SSU rRNA
Rfam family: Bacterial small subunit ribosomal RNA
Source: RNAcentral